ACGCUGGCGGCGUGCUUAACACAUGCAAGUCGAACGAUGAACCCCAGCUUGCUGGGGGGAUUAGUGGCGAACGGGUGAGUAACACGUGAGUAACCUGCCCUUAACUCUGGGAUAAGCCUGGGAAACUGGGUCUAAUACUGGAUAUUGACUUUACCUCGCAUGGGGUUUGGUUGAAAGAUUUAUUGGUUUUGGAUGGACUCGCGGCCUAUCAGCUUGUUGGUGAGGUAAUGGCUCACCAAGGCGACGACGGGUAGCCGGCCUGAGAGGGUGACCGGCCACACUGGGACUGAGACACGGCCCAGACUCCUACGGGAGGCAGCAGUGGGGAAUAUUGCACAAUGGGCGAAAGCCUGAUGCAGCGACGCCGCGUGAGGGAUGACGGCCUUCGGGUUGUAAACCUCUUUCAGUAGGGAACAAGGCCAAUGUUUAGUUGGUUGAGGGUACUUGCAGAAGAAGCACCGGCUAACUACGUGCCAGCAGCCGCGGUAAUACGUAGGGUGCAAGCGUUAUCCGGAAUUAUUGGGCGUAAAGAGCUCGUAGGCGGUUUGUCGCGUCUGCCGUGAAAGUCCGGGGCUCAACCCCGGAUCUGCGGUGGGUACGGGCAGACUAGAGUGAUGUAGGGGAGACUGGAAUUCCUGGUGUAGCGGUGAAAUGCGCAGAUAUCAGGAGGAACACCGAUGGCGAAGGCAGGUCUCUGGGCAUUAACUGACGCUGAGGAGCGAAAGCAUGGGGAGCGAACAGGA
Molecule: ribosomal RNA, 743 nt
Filed under: uncultured bacterium
Lineage: Bacteria
Description: bacterial SSU rRNA
Rfam family: Bacterial small subunit ribosomal RNA
Source: RNAcentral